Molecule: ribosomal RNA, 169 nt
Filed under: uncultured bacterium
Lineage: Bacteria
Description: partial 16S ribosomal RNA
Rfam family: Bacterial small subunit ribosomal RNA
Source: RNAcentral
CCUACGGGAGGCAGCAGUGGGAAAUAUUGCACAAUGGGGGAAACCCUGAUGCAGCAACGCCGCGUGAGUGAUGACGGUCUUCGGAUUGUAAAGCUCUGUCUUUAGGGACGAUAAUGACGGUACCUAAGGAGGAAGCCACGGCUAACUACGUGCCAGCAGCCGCGGUAAU